GGACAAUGGUUGAUUUCGAUAGAUCCUAGGAACCACGGACUCUUAAUCCGUAGGUCGAGUGUUCGAGUCACUCACGCCCCACCA
Molecule: transfer RNA, 84 nt
Filed under: Ralstonia pickettii 12D
Lineage: Bacteria; Pseudomonadati; Pseudomonadota; Betaproteobacteria; Burkholderiales; Burkholderiaceae
Description: tRNA-Lys (CTT) (tRNA-Lys-CTT-2-1)
Source: RNAcentral